AGGAUCAUUACAGAGUGCAUGCCCUCACGGGUUGACCUCCCACCCUUGUGUAUCUAUACUGUGUUGCUUUGGCGAGCUGCCCCAGGCGUCACGGCCCGGAGCCUCACGCUUUCGAGCCUGAGAGUCGCUCGCCGAAGGGAAAAGAAACCCUGAGCAUGAGUGUCGUCUGAGCACUAUACAAUAGUUAAAACUUUCAACAACGGAUCUCUUGGUUCUGGCAUCGAUGAAGAACGCAGCGAAAUGCGAUAAGUAAUGCGAAUUGCAGAAUUCAGUGAAUCAUCGAAUCUUUGAACGCACAUUGCGCCCCUUGGUAUUCCGGGGGGCAUGCCUGUUCGAGCGUCAUCUCAACCCUCAAGCUCCGCUUGGUAUUGGGCUUCGUCGGUCACACGACGGGCCUUGAAAUCAGUGGCGGCGCCGUGGGGUCCUGAACGUAGUAACAUAUUUCGUUCCAGGUGCCCCGCGUGCUCCUGCCAUCAAACCCCCCCAUUUUCUAUGGUUGACCUCGGAUCAGGUAGGGAUACCCGCUGAACUUAAGCAUAUCAAUAAGCGGAGGA
This 554-nucleotide small RNA is filed under the name Rutstroemia johnstonii. RNAcentral describes it as "eukaryotic LSU rRNA". The stretch from base 189 to 342 matches the Rfam family "5.8S ribosomal RNA". Lineage: Eukaryota; Fungi; Ascomycota; Leotiomycetes; Helotiales; Rutstroemiaceae. The record is from RNAcentral.